This 345-nucleotide ribosomal RNA is filed under the name bacterium enrichment culture DGGE band TBA-1. RNAcentral's name for it is "bacterial SSU rRNA". It matches the Rfam family "Bacterial small subunit ribosomal RNA", at positions 469 to 813 of the family's 1533-position model. The record is from RNAcentral.
AUGACGGUACCGGAAGAAUAAGCACCGGCUAACUACGUGCCAGCAGCCGCGGUAAUACGUAGGGUGCGAGCGUUAAUCGGAAUUACUGGGCGUAAAGCGUGCGCAGGCGGUUUUGUAAGACAGGCGUGAAAUCCCCGAGCUCAACUUGGGAAUGGCGUUUGUGACUGCAAGGCUAGAGUAUGUCAGAGGGGGGUAGAAUUCCACGUGUAGCAGUGAAAUGCGUAGAGAUGUGGAGGAACACCGAUGGCGAAGGCAACCCCCUGGGACGGCACUGACGCUCAUGCACGAAAGCGUGGGGAGCAAACAGGAUUAGAUACCCUGGUAGUCCACGCCCUAAACGAUGUC